AAUAGAUACCCGGGUAGUCCACGCCGUAAACGAUGAGUGCUAAGUGUUAGAGGGUUUCCGCCCUUUAGUGCUGCAGCUAACGCAUUAAGCACUCCGCCUGGGGAGUACGGCCGCAAGGCUGAAACUCAAAGGAAUUGACGGGGGGCCCGCACAAGCGGUGGAGCAUGUGGUUUAAUUCGAAGCAACGCGAAGAACCUUACCAGGUCUUGACAUCCUCUGCCAACCCUAGAGAUAGGGCGUUCCCCCUUCGGGGGGACAGAGUGACAGGUGGUGCAUGGUUGUCGUCAGCUCGUGUCGUGAGAUGUUGGGUUAAGUCCUGCAACGAGCGCAACCCUUGAUUUUAGUUGCCAGCAUUCAGUUGGGGCACUCUAAGGUGACUGCCGGUGACAAACCGGAGGAAGGUGGGGAUGACGUCAAAUCAUCAUGCCCCUUAUGACCUGGGCUACACACGUGCUACAAUGGAUGGUACAAAGAGCUGCGAACCCGCGAGGGUAAGCCAAUCUCAUAAAGCCAUUCUCAGUUCGGA
Molecule: ribosomal RNA, 526 nt
Filed under: uncultured bacterium
Lineage: Bacteria
Description: bacterial SSU rRNA
Rfam family: Bacterial small subunit ribosomal RNA
Source: RNAcentral